Molecule: long non-coding RNA, 2240 nt
Organism: Populus euphratica (Euphrates poplar)
Lineage: Eukaryota; Viridiplantae; Streptophyta; Magnoliopsida; Malpighiales; Salicaceae
Exons: 2
Source: RefSeq, a predicted model, not a curated record
AGUUAAUAACAAAUGCCACAUAAGUACAUCAGUGUAACUGAAAAUAUUAUAUGACCCAAAGGUGCACCAUUUCAAGAUUCUACAGCAAGCAAUUACUAUAAAAGCUAAGGUAUUAAUCUAUCGCUAAAUUGGAAUCACUACAUUCCUCAGCGAGACAAAUCAGGUAUGAAUACAUCUGCCUCAACUAUGCCCAGUCAAGUUGGAUCCACCACGUGAAUAUAUUUCCCACCUUGACUACAGCUAUAUUUUCUAUGAAAUGUUAAGGUAAUAGUUGAACCCACGUCAGUAGCAUUAAUUGCAAUAGGAACCAUCUUUUGUCACCAGCAAAUUUAACAUUUUACAGCACAACAAAGGAAUAUAGCCUACACUUGUUUAUUUCGAAGCGACAAGUUUUUAAAAUUAUUUCUGAUAAUUUUAUCCUUCCAUUUCCUAUAAUUUUGAUUCCAAUAAAAGACCAUCACAAAAGUGUCAACACUGCCAGAUACUGAUAAAAUAUGGAAACAAGUUUACUUUAGUACAUUUAGAGUUCUAUUAUUAUUUUUAUAGAAUUUUAGGACUUUGUUAUUAUUUUUAUUAAAAGGUAAUAUUUUAUCAGGAUUUUAAUGUCCUACUUGCUUUAGGACAAUCGGUUUCUUUGCUUCUACUGUCAUACAUCAGUUAUUCUGUAAUUUGUUCACAUUUCAUCUCGUUCAAAGUCGAACUUUCAAUAGCUGCAGUUAACCCAGAUAAGUUCAACAUAAAAUCACUCUAGCCAUCAAGACUGAAAAGAAAAGGAGUGAUGAAUCGCUAAACACAAUCCUUGGUUUCACAUCAGGUGUCUGUAUGAGUUGAUGAAUAGGGAAGAACAGAUGCUUCAAAAUGCCUCAUGUAUCGCAACUAGUAUUCAAUACUAUACUUGUUCCGGUACUCCCCAAUUCAUGUCAGAUACUUGCCAAAUCUAAAAUCAAUGAACACUAAAUAUCACGGUAAAUUACAUUAAUCACCUUUUGGUUUGAGUGUGGUAACACUUUGCACUCUAAUUUCUCAUAUAUUACAUUUUACUCCUUCAUCAAACAAUGUUUGUGGUUCUGUUUGUGGAAAUCUAAAAAGAAAAAAGCAGCCUGAUACAAAAAAAAAAAAAAAUUCACAUGUUGCAGCAAAGCAUUUCACCCAAAAAUUUCCCGACACAAUCUCCCUCUCUGAACCAUCUUGUUUCUCUCUUCAAUAUCAGAGAAGCAAACAAGCCUAAACCUAGCCCAAAUUAAAUGAGAAUCUGAGUAAAAUUGAAACCAAAAUUAUCAAUCAAAUGUGUAGAAGAUCCUUUCGAAGAUUUGACUGCGAUUGAAAUCAGAAAAAGAGCAGAAAAAAAUUGGUGAGAGGAUGCCUAGCCCUAAUCAAAAAAAUUUCUUUGAAAAUCCGAAUGACAUUACAAUUACUUGUGUUUAAUCUCGUGUAUUUUGAAUUUAGGACAAACCCCAUAUUAUUUUUUGUUGUUAUAGUUUUUCAAAUCCCUAAGAGAAACCUUAAUUUUAAUGUCACCCCUAGUUUGAAUGAAAAUUCUCCUCCAUCUCGAUGGUUUCUAUUUCACAAAUCAACAAAGGUUUUCAAGUUUUCUAGUGCCAAGUUUGAGCUCUAGAAUUGAAAUAAGGAAUCCUAAGAGGUAAAUUUGACAGAUAUGGUCAUAUAAUAUCUACUAGAAGCAGUUUCAAUUCAUUGUAUUUAAUUUCCAUGUAUCAUUCAUACUUCAGUCCUCCGUAGCUCAUUCAAGCAUCUUCAUGACUUGCAUGAAACAUUGCUCCUUUGUUUUCUUGUGCAAAUGUAUUGGGAGUUUCUACCAAUUCAAUGUUUUUAUGAAGACAACAGGAAUGGGAUUCAACCAUUCUUCUUAUGAUGCAAAAGUUCUUACAUGUAAACGGAGGACUCAAGGUAUGUUCAAUUGUUCAUGGGUGUGCUUUAGUUCUAGGAAAUUUAGUUUCAAUGAAAAGAUUAUUUUCAGUGCCGCUAAUCAUCAAUUCUAUUAAAAAUAAUUGAGGUUUUUCUUUUUAUGUGCUUGCUUGUGUGAUAAAAGGCAGAACAGUUUUUUUGAAUAAAUGCAGAGAAUAGUCAAGAAGAAUGUGACACAGAACAGCUAAAAAUGGUAUUGUGCUUCAUGGAUUGCUUGUUGGCUGUUGGUUGCAAAAAGGGGAGGAAUUGAAGAGAGCAGAUUACAAAGAGUUAAGCAAGUUUACUGAUUUACAAGCAAUGUGAAAUAGUAAAAAAAA